AUGAAGUCGUUGUCGAGGCUGAUUGAGGAACCAAAGAUGAAGCUAAAGAAGGAUGUGAAGAAUGAUGAAGAGGAAGAUGAGAGGAGAAGAGAUAAUUUUUGGGAACUUUCUGUGGAGUUUUCUGGUUACCCUUCUCAUACUAUUGAAGAGUUUCUUACCAAGGAUUGGGUAAACCUGAGAUGGAUUCAAGUGAUACAUGAAGCUUUAGGAAUAGCUUGA
Non-coding RNA from Vicia faba (fava bean), 219 nucleotides. The record is from the annotation of a GenBank genome assembly. NCBI's taxonomy places the organism in Eukaryota, Viridiplantae, Streptophyta, Magnoliopsida, Fabales, Fabaceae.